This 253-nucleotide ribosomal RNA is filed under the name uncultured bacterium. RNAcentral describes it as "partial 16S ribosomal RNA". It matches the Rfam family "Archaeal small subunit ribosomal RNA", at positions 474 to 727 of the family's 1478-position model. The record is from RNAcentral.
UACCAGCACCCCGAGUGGUCGGGACGAUUAUUGGGCCUAAAGCAUCCGUAGCCGGUUCUGCAAGUCUUCCGUUAAAUCCACCUGCUUAACAGAUGGGCUGCGGAGGAUACUACAAGGCUAGGAGGCGGAAGAGGCAAGCGGUACUCAGUGGGUAGGGGUAAAAUCCUCUGAUCCAUUGAAGACCACCAGUGGCGAAGGCGGCUUGCCAAUACGCGCUCGACGGUGAGGGAUGAAAGCUGGGGGAGCAAACCGG